Non-coding RNA from Cadophora malorum, 100 nucleotides. The record is from the annotation of a GenBank genome assembly. Lineage: Eukaryota; Fungi; Ascomycota; Leotiomycetes; Helotiales; Ploettnerulaceae.
GCGUUUGUGGUUUAGUGGUAAAAUCCAUCGUUGCCAUGUAACUGUUGAGAUCAACAGUUUCAGUGUCGAUGGGCCCCGGGUUCGAUUCCCGGCGAACGCA